GGGAGGCAGCAGUGGGGAAUAUUGGACAAUGGGCGAAAGCCUGAUCCAGCCAUGCCGCGUGUGUGAAGAAGGUCUUCGGAUUGUAAAGCACUUUAAGUUGGGAGGAAGGGUUGUACGUUAAUACCGUGCAAUUUUGACGUUACCGACAGAAUAAGCACCGGCUAACUCUGUGCCAGCAGCCGCGGUAAUACAGAGGGUGCAAGCGUUAAUCGGAAU
Molecule: ribosomal RNA, 216 nt
Filed under: Platyophrya macrostoma
Lineage: Eukaryota; Ciliophora; Colpodea; Cyrtolophosidida; Platyophryidae
Description: partial Bacterial small subunit ribosomal RNA
Rfam family: Bacterial small subunit ribosomal RNA
Source: RNAcentral